UGGCCAUUUUCGAUAAGCCAAUUAAUUUUGGUAUUUCAUGUAUGUAUGUAUAUGCCAGGGCUGAGGACUUUAAACUUAAAAAUCUGAAUGCAUCCCUGGGAAUUUUAUCAACAUUCAUUAGCAUUCGUUGCCAAAUUGCUCAACUUUUUAAGUGCUUUGAUUUGCAUUGCAUUGUGAGUGGAAAGUGGACAUGAAUGUGGAUGUGGGGGCAGUAGCGCUGGCUUGGCAACUGCACCCAGUUUUCAAGCGCAUCUGCAUCCGAAGUUGAAAGCUGAUACCGAAUCCUGUGUAAACGACCUUUGAUGUGGGCCUGGUUGGUUGGUUGGUUGGUUGGUUGGCCGUUGGUUUAGUCUCGACUCGUAUUCGCAUUAACGCCAUUAGGCCAAUUUGGCACUUUGCCCUGGCCCCGAAAAGGCGCGCACGGAGAACUUUCACAAACAAAGGUAACAAACGGCGUCAGGAUGUUGCAAUAGCUCUUCUGCUGCGCCACCACCUCGAAAGCCACCCGAGAAGCAGCCAAGAGUCACCCAACUGGCGCGCUCCUCCUGGCCGUUCCACUCCAUGCCACUCACAUGCCAAUGCCCGUGUAAAUAAAAGUCAAGUGAGGAAAACAAAUAAAUUAGAAGCGCAUCCUCCGCUCGUUGGCAACGGGCAUUUCUCUUCGUUAUUGCGCGACUGCCUUUAAUUACGACACCAGGCGGCUGAAAGGAGCUGGAGCUGCUGCUGCAAGGUCCUGCCCAGGGAUUCCCCCACUUUCACCAAUUUCCACUUUCCAGUGCCCCCACGUCUGCCCACUGCCACGUCGUGCUCCGUGCACCGCCGCAGCGCAGCAUCCUCAAUUUAUGUUUAUUUGAAAGCUGUUGCACUUGACUAAUGUCCUCUCCGUCUGUCCUCUCAUCCUGCCACUUAGCGGGAUGCGGCGACAUUCGCAGGCUCUUGGACUUUGGCCAUCUGGUAUUUAAGCCAUCAAAUCCACAUCAUUUUGGCCAGGAGGCUGUUCAGGAUGAGCAAGUGAGUAAGACAAGGACGACUGUACCCCAAACGACUCCAUCAAUAAAGAAAUCGAUCUAUUGAUCCACAAUCCAAGUGGAUCCCUUGCCGUGGACUUCCCGGAAUAAAUUCGAUUGUAAUUGA
This is a long non-coding RNA of Drosophila simulans, 1134 nucleotides long. RefSeq lists it as uncharacterized. The transcript is spliced from 2 exons. The record is from RefSeq and is a predicted model, not a curated record. NCBI's taxonomy places the organism in Eukaryota, Metazoa, Arthropoda, Insecta, Diptera, Drosophilidae.